Molecule: long non-coding RNA, 1171 nt
Organism: Daphnia pulicaria
Lineage: Eukaryota; Metazoa; Arthropoda; Branchiopoda; Diplostraca; Daphniidae
Exons: 3
Source: RefSeq, a predicted model, not a curated record
AGGUCCGGGUGUGAAGAAUGAAUUGUUAUGAGGAAACUGGUUAAUUGGAGAGGCGGUUUGUCAAACUUAGGAUAGGUUUUCUAAAUCGGUAGAAUGGUAAGAUGAUCCUCCAUGGCGAUUCUCCAUGCUUAUCUGCUAAUGCCGACCUUGUGUAACUGGAUCGACUACCUCGCCCUAAUUAAUACCAUCCUCAACCUUGAACUUGCACCUACCCUUGCUACUCUUCUUCACAGUCCAGAUUUUCCCUUUAAUAAAAUGCCGUUCGUCCAUCAGUGUUAUGUCAGUCUACCUUCUUCAGUUGGUCGAGUGGGUAGUUAAACAGAGCUCACUCGACCAAUUGCAGAUAGUAGACUUAAGCCUUUAGUUCUUUUACAUUUAGCUCUGUAGUUGAUGAAGUGCAGACGUUUACAAAUGACUUCAUUUGAUCAACUAUUAGUUAUAUUUGUAAAAGAACUAGUUAUUCGGUAGAUGAAUGAUGACACUGGCUCUCGUUUCCUCCCGAGUCAUGAUCGAGCUUUGGGAUUAAAUUAUUGGGUACCUAUGGGGAAAACUAAGGGAUACUUAUAACUGGGGACUACUUCUGCAUUCUUAUGAAGUAUUAUUUUUAAAAACAUGAAUUGUGUAUAAUCCAUGCCGGGUCUAGUUCUAAAGUACCGGAAAAAUCAGUUUAUCAAGCUUUACUUGAACAUUCAGGUCGUGUUUGUGAAAAAUGAAAUGAGCCUACCAUUUAAUUGGAUGGAUAAAUUAUUGACACUGGCUCUCGUUUCCUUCAAGUCAUGUCCGAGCUUUGGGGUUAAGUUUGGGUUGUAAGGCCCGUUUCAGACCUUACGACCGUUAAUACGAGUAAAAAUAAUGAAGUUGGACUUUCCAUCUAAAACAAUGAAAAAUAAGUUGUAGAUGAGGCCAGGGAAACAGUAGGGAUGUGGGUUUGAAAUAAAUCAGUGCAUUUCAUGCAGAAAGUAUUUGCCAAGGGGUCAUUGGAGGAAAUGGAAUUGUUAACAGUAUUUCCAACAACUGCAUCUACUGUGAAAUAUGAAAUUCAUUCAUUCUUGUGAAGGAUGACGCUUUGAAGUACAAUAAACACUGAAAAAAUAGUACAAGCAUACACUCACAAGAGACCACAGAGAAUAGUUAAGAGGAGUUUAACAGAGCGAUCGAAUUUUAAACUAUU